Felis catus (domestic cat) is the source of this 1628-nucleotide long non-coding RNA. RefSeq lists it as uncharacterized. The record is from RefSeq and is a predicted model, not a curated record. The transcript is spliced from 2 exons. Lineage: Eukaryota; Metazoa; Chordata; Mammalia; Carnivora; Felidae.
AUACCCCUGAGCCUCAUUCCCUGUUCUGGUUUGAGGGCCCCUGGUUUGCAAACCGUCUCAUUGUUUUGUCAACAGUAAACUUUUACUAAUUAUUGUUUCAAUGGUUAAAUGGAUUUACUUCUGUCAUUUCUGAACUUUUGAGAUCUCAUGGAUCCAAAGAAGAUCCCCCAAAGACUCUGAGGCUGGUGACGAAACAGAUGCCGCUACCCACAGAGCACACUGAGCUCCCUGCUUUCUCCCCAACCCUGGAGACUGAGGAAACUGGAUUGGAUCCUGAAUUCUAGUUUCUUCCAAUAUGUGGCUACAACUCUCCAAGCUAACGUUUCCAAUUUUCUCCCACUCUUAUGACUUGGAAUCAUCAUGAAACUAAAACUGACCAUUUCCCAAAGCUGUGGGAGCUAAAGCUGAAAAGCUUGAUAGAAACUUUGGAGAAAUCACCACAACAACUCCUCUGUGGACAAUCUUCAGGCCUGUGGCUCUAUGGCCACUCAGAAAGAUCACUAGAGACAUUCAAGUUGCAAACCAGGAAAAGACGUCAGAUUCCCACUGUUUGCUCUCACUCCAUCUGAAGACGCUUGGAACCCAACAUCUAGCAAUCUUUUCAACUGACUGUUCUCCAAACUCCAAAACUAAAUUUGCUAUAAUUUGCUAAAACUAUUAACCUUUGUAUUUCUUUGGUUUUCAUAUAAAUGCAUCUCAUUAAAUUACCUGAUGGCUCAUACCAUAUAGAGGCCUCACUGAGAUGGAAGCUCACCUACAACACCACCUCCUGACAUAAAAGACCUUCACAUUCAUUUUGGCCUAAGUAAUCAUGAGGAUAUAUAAUUGUUAAUACAUCAUGUUGUGUCUAUGGAAAUAACUUUUUAAGAAAGAAACCCAUUUGAGUUAUUUAACUGGUUACAUCUUGGCUCCUGGGAAUCUCUACUCUGGGAAAUUUUUCAAUCCUUGAUUAUUGUUCUCCUUACAGUCAUAUUAACCUCUCUAGUGCAUCGUAUAUUGAACUCAAUGCCUGUCAGCAGCCACCCACAUGCCAAAUGGUAUCCAUUAGGAUAGGACAACUGAGUAAAAGAAACAACAAUCCUAUCAAUGAUAAAGAUGGUUACUACAUGGCCCCUCAAGUGGAUGAAAACACUGAGUGUGUGAUUUUUCAGCCUAACCACAUCAACAGUGGUAACUGAGAAUAACGCUAUACCGGUUGGUCAUACUCUCAGCCUGCUUAGAGAAUGACCAAAAGGGAGGAUUUGUUAAAACCAAAAACAGAGACCAACCUUGAGAAUUCUCUGAGCAGACAAAACUAGUUUAGUCAUACAAAGAAAGUUUAAUUUAGCUUGUUUUCCAAGAUUAACUUGACCUGGGUCAUUUCUUGCUUAUGCCUCUGGAAAUCGUAAGUAAAACUUGAACUGUGUCCCCAAAUUGAUAGGAGAUAACCACUGACCAAUUCCCCAUCAUUUAAGAAAAUUCUAUUAUAACCAAACACUAUGAAGAAUAAACAGUCAUUGUCUUAUUAUAUAAGCUGCUUUACAACAAUAUACUCCUAAGCCUCAUUCCAUGUUUUGGUUCAAGUGCUCCAGCAGUGCAGACUGUCUUUUUGGUGUGUGCACAAUAAACUUUUACUAAUUACUACUUCA